This 158-nucleotide microRNA precursor is filed under the name Pelobates cultripes (western spadefoot toad). Lineage: Eukaryota; Metazoa; Chordata; Amphibia; Anura; Pelobatidae. The record is from RNAcentral.
GCAGACACAUUCCAGCCAAUCAGCAGCAGACCCUCCCUCCCAGACCCUCCCACCUCCUGGACAGCAUCCAUUUUGAAGCUGCAUUCUUAGUGAUGCUGUCCAGGAGGUGGGAGGGUCUGGGAGGGAGGGUCUGCUGCUGAUUGGCUGGAAUGUGUCUG